GACGAACGCUGGCGGCGUGCCUAAUACAUGCAAGUCGAGCGGACGAAUCGAAAGCUUGCUUUUGAUUCGUUAGCGGCGGACGGGUGAGUAACACGUGGGCAACCUGCCCUGUAGACGGGGAUAACACCGAGAAAUCGGUGCUAAUACCGGAUAACACGAAAUGUCGCAUGACGUUUCGUUGAAAGACGGCGCAAGCUGUCGCUACAGGAUGGGCCCGCGGCGCAUUAGCUAGUUGGUGAGGUAACGGCCCACCAAGGCGACGAUGCGUAGCCGACCUGAGAGGGUGAUCGGCCACACUGGGACUGAGACACGGCCCAGACUCCUACGGGAGGCAGCAGUAAGGAAUCUUCCGCAAUGGACGAAAGUCUGACGGAGCAACGCCGCGUGAGCGAAGAAGGCCUUCGGGUCGUAAAGCUCUGUUGUUAGGGAAGAACAAGUAACGCAGUAACUGGCGUUACCGUGACGGUACCUAACGAGAAAGCCACGGCUAACUACGUG
This 498-nucleotide ribosomal RNA is filed under the name uncultured bacterium. RNAcentral's name for it is "partial 16S ribosomal RNA". It matches the Rfam family "Bacterial small subunit ribosomal RNA", at positions 28 to 507 of the family's 1533-position model. The record is from RNAcentral.